Molecule: ribosomal RNA, 1398 nt
Filed under: uncultured bacterium
Lineage: Bacteria
Description: 16S ribosomal RNA
Rfam family: Bacterial small subunit ribosomal RNA
Source: RNAcentral
AGAGUUUGAUCCUGGCUCAGGAUGAACGCUAGCUACAGGCUUAACACAUGCAAGUCGAGGGGCAGCAUGGUCUUAGCUUGCUAAGGCCGAUGGCGACCGGCGCACGGGUGAGUAACGCGUAUCCAACCUGCCUUACACUCCUGGACAGCCUUCUGAAAGGGAGAUUAAUACAAGAUGUUAUCAUGAGUAAGCAUUUUCGCAUGAUUAAAGGUUUACCGGUGUAAGAUGGGGAUGCGUUCCAUUAGAUAGUAGGCGGGGUAACGGCCCACCUAGUCUUCGAUGGAUAGGGGUUCUGAGAGGAAGGUCCCCCACAUUGGAACUGAGACACGGUCCAAACUCCUACGGGAGGCAGCAGUGAGGAAUAUUGGUCAAUGGACGAGAGUCUGAACCAGCCAAGUAGCGUGAAGGAUGAAGGUUCUAUGGAUUGUAAACUUCUUUUAUACGGGAAUAAACGAAUCCACGUGUGGAUUUUUGCAUGUACCGUAUGAAUAAGGAUCGGCUAACUCCGUGCCAGCAGCCGCGGUAAUACGGAGGAUCCGAGCGUUAUCCGGAUUUAUUGGGUUUAAAGGGAGCGUAGAUGGGUUGUUAAGUCAGUUGUGAAAGUUUGCGGCUCAACCGUAAAAUUGCAAUUGAUACUGGCAGUCUUGAGUACAGUUGAGGUAGGCGGAAUUCGUGGUGUAGCGGUGAAAUGCUUAGAUAUCACGAAGAACUCCGAUUGCGAAGGCAGCUUACUAACCUGUAACUGACAUUGAUGCUCGAAAGUGUGGGUAUCAAACAGGAUUAGAUACCCUGGUAGUCCACACGGUAAACGAUGAAUACUCGCUGUAGGCGAUAUACAGUCUGCGGCCAAGCGAAAGCAUUAAGUAUUCCACCUGGGGAGUACGCCGGCAACGGUGAAACUCAAAGGAAUUGACGGGGGCCCGCACAAGCGGAGGAACAUGUGGUUUAAUUCGAUGAUACGCGAGGAACCUUACCCGGGCUUAAAUUGCAACCGAAUAUGGCGGAAACGCUAUAGCUAGCAAUAGCGGUUGUGAAGGUGCUGCAUGGUUGUCGUCAGCUCGUGCCGUGAGGUGUCGGCUUAAGUGCCAUAACGAGCGCAACCCUUGCCGAUAGUUACUAACAGGUUAUGCUGAGGACUCUGUCGGGACUGCCAUCGUAAGAUGUGAGGAAGGUGGGGAUGACGUCAAAUCAGCACGGCCCUUACGUCCGGGGCUACACACGUGUUACAAUGGGGGGUACAGAGGGCUGCUACCACGCAAGUGGAUGCCAAUCCCAAAAACCUCUCUCAGUUCGGAUUGAAGUCUGCAACCCGACUUCAUGAAGCUGGAUUCGCUAGUAAUCGCGCAUCAGCCACGGCGCGGUGAAUACGUUCCCGGGCCUUGCACUCACCGCCCGUCA